CGAGCUCCGAUUUUUGGUAUCAGCACCCCAGGCGAAGCUCAACCAGGUACAGUACCACCAACGGACACGAGUCCAGAGCCCAACCAGCCACAGUCAGCGGUAGAGAAGAAAAUGGAAGGAAAAAAGCC
Long non-coding RNA from Amblyraja radiata (thorny skate), 128 nucleotides. RefSeq lists it as uncharacterized. The record is from RefSeq and is a predicted model, not a curated record. Lineage: Eukaryota; Metazoa; Chordata; Chondrichthyes; Rajiformes; Rajidae. The transcript is spliced from 3 exons.